UCAAAAUGUGCAAAACAAAAUAAAAUUAGAAUAAAAAUAUUUAGGUCUAACUGAGUCUGAAAAUUCUUAAAUAGCUGAAACUAAAUUCUAAAAUCAGAGUAGUGCUGUGACAAAAAAGAUCAAGGCUCUUGAAAUCUCAGCUGUGCAGUUGUGGCAGUUAGCCUGUGGUGGUGCUCUAGUUCCUAUGGACUGUCAUGUGAUUAACGUAGUAGCAACCAUUAGCCAUCAGGUGGCACUGUUAGUUAGGGCACUUACCAGUAUUCUUGACCCAGCACUCGCAAGGUACUCAGUGCUGCUAGCACAGGAAGAGAUGAAGUGGACUAUUUGGCCCAUAAAAAGUACAUGGGGCUUGAGUUCAGUGACUGGAAAUCACAGAGGAGAUAGGGCAGGGAGCGGAGACCGAUGCUGAGCACUGCAGCCGCUUCUGCGGGACAGGACGACCCCUAUGUGUCCCUGCUCAGAGACAGAGCUCCCAUGAGACACAGAGAGAGGAUGAAUACGCUCUCCUUGCCCCACACAGUCUCCCCCAGCCCACCCCCGUUUUCUCUCCAUCGCCCGAACAGAGUCUGAAGCUGCCGCACUCACUGGCUGCAACGGUAAUUGGAACAUAAUGGAACAUUUUUGCAGACUGAACUGAACCCUUUGCCCUUAUCACCUUCUGAACCGCUCGCAAAAUAGGCCCACAUUCCACGGCCUACUGCGCGAGUACACACACCUCUCAGUGCUGAUUGACCACUUUGGUCAGGCAUCAUACAAGCACAUUUCACGCACUGUACCUUCAUACACCAAAUAUGAGACACACACCAAAUAUGAGACACACACAUGCUUUUCAGAGUUUGUUUCUUAACUUUUUCAUGAGAUUUUAAGAAAGAUCACAAAAUACAUUAUGUAUAUAUAUAUAUAUAUAUAUUUAACGCAGCAUCCGUUUUUUUUUACUUUUUUUUUUAUUAAAUUCUUUAUGAUUGUAUUAUACUACACAAGAUCCACAAUUGAGAGUUGUGGCUGUAUAUAUGAAUAUGGAAGUGAGUGUAUCAUGACCUCUCCAAGCGUCCCACCAACCAGCAGCUGAAUCAUAGGUGACAGGAGACCAAGCCUCAUCUGGCCCCACCCCUGCGCUCAAUGUCAAUUACCCAUCAUCCUAUCAAACUUAGAUCACCCUUUCACUGCCGGCUCAUUCUGAUAUCUUCGCACUCCCAUCUCAAACCAAGGAACAGGGGUCCAAACUCAGUGGCCAACACAGAGUCUGCCCUCACUGUUGUCCCCCAUUACAGUCACUUCAUUUGUAAAUUGGCUUUUACAUGUAGCGUAUCCCAGCUGAGCCUCCCCCUGCCCGUCUCCCUAAAGGACCUAGUCUCAGACUGGUCACCACCGCACUCAGUCAAUCAGAGAACCCACCAGGGACACCAAAUCGCCUCUUUCUGUCUGUGUUUUGUUUGUUCUCUUUGCCUCAUGACACAAACAGACACUCAGAAAGACUUCAGCAUUUCACUCUGUUUUGACGCACAGAGGCCACUACAUUGUCCUACUUUUUGUCAAAUCAGUUAGGCUUGUUGGUCAUUUUAAGAUCUUUCGAUCUAAUGAACAAAAUAAGCUCACGCAAUUCACAUAUGAACGCGACCAGAGACAAUGGAAAAACAUACAGAGAGCAGCAGCUUUCAUUUUUGCUCUGACAGCCGUGCUAGAAAUCAGGAAUGGUGAGAGAAUACUGUGCUUGGUACGUUUUUCAUCUUCAAACCAAACUUGGGUCUUCAGCCGACAAAGUUUAAAUCCUGUCUGGCAUGUAAAUAUUGUCUCAUUCUAAACUUGAAAAAAAAAAAAAAAUCCUGUCUGGCUAGCUCACUUCCCAUAAUGUUUACACAUUAGGUCAGCAGGCGGUCUUUUGUGGCUGUUUGAAUGCAAUCGGCCACGUGAGCGUUUACACUACGAGAGCAAUCCGUUCUAAUGCGUUUUCGACUACCUCUGGAAGUGGUCAAAAGUGGACGAGCUCAAAACCUUUUAGACCCCGCUACUUGUGAUCCGGUCGGCCAAAACACAUCUUAAUAUCGGGUGUAAACAAAUCGGAACAAUAGAAAAUUGGAAGAAUAGUAAAAAUUACAAAUAUGUACAUUCAAAAAUUUGGGGUCAGCAAGAUUGAUUUCUGAAGGAUCAUGUGACACUGAAGACUGGAGUAAUGAUGCUGAAAAUUAAGCUUUGCAUCACAGGAAUACAUUAAAUUUUAAAAUAUAUUAAAAUAUAAAACGGUUCUUUUAAAUUGUAAAUUGUAAUAAUAUUUCACAAUAUAACUCUUUUACUGUAUUUUUAAUCACAUAAAUGCAUAAAUAAAUGACUUGGUGAGACUUAUUUUAGAAUCUUACUGACUGCAACCUUUUGAACAGUAGUGUAUUACCUGUUUAUAUAUAUAUAUAUAUGGAAAUACUUUUACAUUUUAGAUGCUGUCAAUAUGUUCAGAUAUCCAAAUGUUCAAAAAAGUACAGGUAAACUAAACUAUAUCUACAAAUACCUGAAAAGGUACACAAACAUCUAUUUUAAACAAUCUAUUUACAGCCUCUUUUUCAUUAGCAGGCACAAAAAUCUAACGCUUUUUUUUUUUUUUUUUUUAAUUAGGUUGCAACUGCAAGUAACAUGGAAGACACUGGAAGACAAAGCUUUCAUAAGCCUUAGAAGUAGCUCAUCUAAUCAGAUUUUAGUAUGUGCAUGUGUUUUAACCCAAACAGCUAUGUUUACAAAAAAUUAGAGUAGAAAGAAACAAUACACUGAAUUACUGGUGCUAUUAUUAAACUUUCAUCAUGGCUAUUAUCAUAUAAUAGGGUCAUAGUGUCUUCCCUAUGAUUACUAAAGUAGUGCUCAAACUAUUCAUUCAUAUAUUAACAUAUAUGCAUUACUUGCAGUUGUUAAUUUCUGAGUGAUACUAAAAAUAGUUCAUUUUAUGAAUCUAUCUCUCUCACGCACGUGCACGCACGCACACACAAAGGGUCUCUUUGUUGAUGAGUACCAUGUUAGAAUAUCUCUUUCAAUCAAACAGUUAACCUGCAGCCCCACAUCUAUCACACUUUCUUAUGGACAAACUCAAACACUCCACAUUGAUUGUCCAUCCAGUCCUUCAGCCUUGGAUAGUCUGGUUCCAGCUGAAGCUCUUAAUAACUGAGAAGGCCAAACAUGAGGGCCUGUUGGCUGCAGCCGUACCCAUCAGCCCCCUCCCACAGACCCCCGGACUAACCCACAGGCCUCUGUCUGCUGCUGAGCUUUGGAAACAGCUGUGCAGUCAUAACAGAGUGUGUGCCCAGACUCAACUCAUGUUUUUUGUUGCUUCAAAGGCAAUCUGAUACACCAUCCCUUGAAACAUGCAGACACAGUCACACGCACAUGCUUGCCCACAUGUAUAUUCACAGUGUGCACAAAUUGUUCUAAGAUGAAAUGUUCAGGAUACCACUCCUCUGUCUUGCCAAAAUCUAAAAUCACAUAAUUAAGAGAAAUUCACUUUAUUUCAGGAUUAUUCCAAGUUUAAAGUGCAUAUAAACUGGAGAACAUUGGGAAGAUGUGCCUUUACCUACUGCAAAAAACUUACUUAUACAUACAAUUCACUUCAUUUUCCAACUGAAAUGAACACUGUGGUAGUAAAACAACAACAAAAACAUUUAUUACUUUUCACACAAAUUAUGAUAUGGGGGCAGAUUAUUGAUUAAUAAAUACAGUCCCUAACACAAUGACCUCAAAACACAUAUAGUGCAUGAUUUGAAAACUAAUCACAUAAUCAACUCCAUAUGUAUGGCUUUUCUGAGGAAGUAAACUUGCUCAGUAGAUCACCUGGUACAGCACUGCGAUGAGGAGUGCUUGGAUAUGAGUCCCAUGAAACAUGAGUCACAAUAAAAGAUCUCAAAGAGUUGUAGAAGCAAGAUAAAAUGGCAUGGUUGCUUUGAAAAACACUGAAAGUGUUGCAAAAGUGCAACAAGCAACACAAUAUUUUGCAGAAAUGAACCAGGGUUGAAACUGGAACAAGACAAAUAAAAAGCUAGCAUAUCAAAAAUCUAACUUUGCAUCUAGCUAAUAAAAACAUUAAAUUUAGAGACAUCGAUUUUAGGCUAUGUUAUGUGCAUGUGACUUAAAUUAGAAGAAAAUGGCAUGAAAUUGGUGAGAUUACUUUGCAGAGUGAAUUGUAAGUGCACUUUAAAGGGCUGAUUUAUGCCUUUUACAGGCUUACAGGACUUGCAGAAGCUCCCAAUAAUUUUCAGUGUUUAAUUGGUUUCCGUUGGCUCGAGUUCAUUAACUGCAGGUAACUCAUAUUAGAUAAGCUGGUGUGAGUUUCAAAGCCUUGACAGUUUCAUUUAAAUAAAGCUACCGCUGACAAUGAGAUACCAAAAGUGUGACGUUCCCCUUAGAGGGAAGGCACCCUGCUGUCUCUAAAACAAACAGUUUUUUGUAUGUUUGUCGGAUGAGGGAACAAGUACAUUAACUUUCAUUUUACAUUGAGUAAAUAUAACAAGGAAUAAUGGAAUUUACUACAGAGCCACUUAUAUCAAGAAAAACUGCACCUAGGGGGCAGUAUUUUCAUUUACUACCUCAUUGGGAGCACAUGAAGUAUGGCCUAAUUCGACAAUUUUACCUCAUGUAAAACAUGUCUUUAAACCCAUUUCUUUUAUGCUAUUUCUAAAUUUUAUCAGUACAUAAUUGCAGAAUUUACAACUAGGGAGGACAUUACAAGAAAAAAAAAAACUUUUAGCUAAGAGCCUACCAAGAUGGUGGCGCACUUGUAUUGCUACGAAUGGGAGAAACUGCAACACGCAAUAUGGCAGCUUCAGGGCAGCUCUAGUAAUAUUUUAAAUAAAAGAGCCAAUCAGCAACUCAUUGAUGCCUUACCGCAGCUGGCGUUAAAAGUGUGGGUUCUCAUAGAAACUUGAGAAUCAUGCUUAGUACUGUACAUGCGCAUUGGCAGGACCAACCUGAAAUAUAUGCUUUCUUAACGCUAUUUGAACGUAAGAAAUAACAUAUUUGAGACAGUUAAUGCCGGAUUUUAUUGCCGAAUUGAAAUAUUUUAUUUAAAUGUGAAUUUGGCAACAGUUAUUUCCCCUUUCAAAUAGAUGGAGUUGGUCUUGCAUGCCCAAAAUAGCUGCCCUGGAGACACUGCAAAUAUGGCCGCCGAGUCAACUGACCUUCCUUGAAAGGGACUUUAACUAAAACUAGUUAUACGAUCAUUAGUGUAUCGCUAAUUUCACCUUCUACAAUGAAUUCACCUAAUUCACAAUGAAGCGGCUUUCUCAAUUGGGGUCUAAAAUUUAGGACACACUUCUUUUGUCUAACGGAUGCAUUAAACAUGUGCAAACCCAAUGAAAUGUCAGCAUUAAUCUCUAAUGAACAACCCAAAGACAAAUCGCUAGUUUAAACAAAGCGAAACGCUUGUAGAAGCAGCAUGCUAGGCUUUCUUUUGCGCUCUCUCCCCUCCCUCCCUCCCCCAGCAAGUCGAACACAUAGGGAGAGAAAGGGAGAGAUAGAGCGAAAUACCGAGAACGCAGGCACACAAAGGCAGGCGCUAGCUUUCCAUCGCUGGCUUACUAAUCGGCUCCUUUGUUGUGCUCGAUGCAUGCCUGUCCCUGUCACAUGACCGCGUUUCCAUGGCUACCGAGGUCUGAGUAAUCAUUUGCGCAAUGACCUUUAUUCCCUUGAGGGAAGAGGAGGGGGAGGUUAGAAUGAAAGCAGAGCCAGCAAAAGCAGGGAGAGGCGGGGGGAGGAAGGGAGGGUGGAGAACUGGUGAGCAGCGGAGCGAGGCAGUGGGGACCUAGACAAGAAAAAGAGGAGAAGGAAAAAAGCAAACUGAUUUUCUCUUAGCAGUACUGAGAAGAAUCCGUUGGGUUUGGUUAGAUAACGAACAGAGCGCGCAAAAACAGGCUGAGAGGGAGAGGAGGGAACGAGGGACGCAGCGGCGCUAGAAGAGAUAGCUAGAGAUAGAGAUGGGCCAACUGUGGGAAAAGAGGAAUGAGCUUUGCGCUCAAGCCGCUUGAAUGAAAGAACCUUAUAAACCCAACGGCAGCCUUUCUAUGGUCUGAUGGUUCCCACGUUGAAGAAUAACAUGCUGGCAGCAAAAGCUAUUGCAGAUCUGAUGGCAUACCAGCGCUGGAUACGGCUUGAGCUUAAAACUAAUAGUCUACCAAUGACUGCACAAACUCUGUCACGAUAAUCACUUCUGAAAUCUCCCACACAUGAACGUUAUGCCUCAGAGAUGAAUAAUGAUCAUGGUGGAAUACAUGCUAAACGGUUACUGCUGAUGAGCACCUUUGUUUACAUCUACUCCCCAGUUAUGUUGUAGCCGUCACACAGAGUGAGCCCGGCACGGAUGACACAUGCUGACAGUAUAAGCUCAGUCAUGUUUGGGUCACUGAGUUUCUCAUUUAUUCUCUUUUUCGCUUAGUUGUUUCUACUUUGCCCUUUCCUGAUGAGUAUUAUGCUAAUGUUUUUGUGAGAAAAUUCAGUUAGGAGCUCUCUUCGCAAACACACAGAUUCAAGAGCACCUCCUAUUGUUUCUUUGUAGCUUUUAUAUGAAUACAGUAUGGAGGGUUCAUAAACCCAGCUUUUUUGGGGAGACAGAAGUGUCUGUUUAUUCCUAAGAGAUCCCAGUAUUGCUUUGAUCAUUUCUUAUAAUUGAAGUUUCAAUAACCUGAAUGCUGCUACAAUUCACACUCCUUCCUUUAGGGGGCAGUAGUCUACUUUUCGGACUGCUUUCUUAAUGGUUUUUCGGGCCAGUGGAAGAGAGGGUAUAGUAUUUGUUUGUGUGUGAAAAUGCUGCCAUGAGGGCUUGUAGUUUCACUCUGAUGUGAAAAAGCUUUACUACUGUAUCAAAGUGUAUUUUGCUUUUUUUUUUUUUUUAAUAAAUUUGAAGCCUAACAAAGAAUAACAUUGCAAAUGCAAUUUUUCUUAAAUUUAUCUUCAAAAAUAUCUAAAAGAAGUAAAAUAAAAGUGAAAGAUUAUCAAAUAACAGCUCAUUAAUUUUUAUUAUAAAUCAAAAUUUUCUCUAGGACACAAUAUCAUUCCCUCAAGACACUAUGAGUACAAUACAACUAGAGUUUUACUCUUAAAGAGUUUCUGUCAUUUACUCAUGUCGUGACCCCACUGACUUUCAUUGUAUGGACAAUACAAAUUAUUUAAAUUAUCUUUUGUGUUCUGCAGAAGAAAGAAAAUGCAGUUUUGGAGUGACACAAGGAACAGGAUACAGAGGCACUUUGUUGUCCUCUGUAGAGCUUUGACUGCUGAUAGUAAGCAGACCACUGUGCCGUUCAGCCUUCGGCAAGGACAUCUUCUCGAAGAUCAUAGAAACAUAAGGAUUCACCAUGCAAACCUCAAGAGAAUGAACAGCACCUUCGUUGAACACCAAUCAGACACACUAUGGACACACCAAAACACACACUUUCUUUCUUGCUCUCUAUCAGGCUCCUUGACAAACACAUGCUCAUUUUCUCCACACACACACACACACACACACACACACACACACAAGCAUCCACUCUCUUCCAUACAAAUCACACAGACAGACACACACACACACACACACACCUCUACACACAGACUCUGCCUAUCUAAAAAGACACACCAGCCAGCUGGGACACUCAGUAAAAGAGAGAGAGAAAGAAGGAGGGGAAAAUAUUGGGCAGGAAGUAGCACGGUUGGAUGUUUGAUGGGGUCGGCAAGACCGUUAAUCACAGAAAUGGUUCUGUUAGCCAUGACAGCUGAAUCCACCGCAAAGCACACAGGACGACGCUGGCACACACAUGACGUCAUCCUUCCUUCCAGAUCCCCUGGAUUAAUAUUCCAAUAAUAGGAGAGAAGGGCUGGCUGAAGGUUGAGACGACAUCCCUCCAUGCAUUACUCACCGUUUCACCACAUGACCUGGGCAACCCAGCACUCUCAUGGCUUGGAGUGCUACACAGUGAAGUGCUUAUCAUUUCCAGUGUCCAAUAUCUAAUAUAGACUCUACUGAACUGUUAUUUGUAGUGGUAAGAUGCAUCUUUAUAGGUAUUAAUAUUGAUUAGUAGCUUUGUUGGUGCAUAUAUGUAAGCCUUCUGUUAUGACUUAUAUACCGCUAUUAAAUCACCAGGGCAGCUUGAUAAAUUGUUGUUUUUUUUUAAAUUGUAGUUAUAACCACACCUGCUCAUAUACAAGAAGGUCUGCAUAAGGAACCAUUCAUUUACAUUGUUGAGGGUAAGCUCACCUGAAGGCCACCCCUCCUCCAACACAUUUGCUGUGUUUUCCCCCCCGUCCAUGCUGCUCCUGCAGCUGUCGACCCCCUCUGACCUCCUGGUCCAAUCAAUAGCUCUCCUUUAAGGCCUUCUGCUGGAAGGUAAUUGCUAGUCUAAGUUAC
Molecule: long non-coding RNA, 8344 nt
Organism: Ctenopharyngodon idella (grass carp)
Lineage: Eukaryota; Metazoa; Chordata; Actinopteri; Cypriniformes; Xenocyprididae
Exons: 3
Source: RefSeq, a predicted model, not a curated record